UGGUCAUUACCAAGGCUUUUAGAAUGCAGUUUCUGAUUUGCUGUGGAGUUGACCAUAAAAAAAACUCCCCACUGGGCUUUCUUUUGCUACCUUGCUAGCCUUCAGCCUGUUGGGAACAUUC
Molecule: small nucleolar RNA, 121 nt
Filed under: Dasypus novemcinctus (nine-banded armadillo)
Lineage: Eukaryota; Metazoa; Chordata; Mammalia; Cingulata; Dasypodidae
Description: Small nucleolar RNA SNORA32 (ENSDNOG00000042898.1)
Rfam family: Small nucleolar RNA SNORA32
About the family: ACA32 is a member of the H/ACA class of snoRNA that guide the sites of modification of uridines to pseudouridines.
Source: RNAcentral